RNAcentral lists this microRNA (21 nucleotides) under Caenorhabditis remanei. RNAcentral describes it as "crm-miR-35b". Its record names the gene crm-miR-35b. Lineage: Eukaryota; Metazoa; Nematoda; Chromadorea; Rhabditida; Rhabditidae. The record is from miRBase by way of RNAcentral.
UCACCGGGUGAAAAUCAAGGC